UAGUGGUGACGGUCUUUAAAAACAAAUUCAGUGGUACAGGGGCUUCUACCUAGAUUAGGGUUAUGUUACAUAUACAAAAUCCUCUUGCUGUGCUUGCAUGCUCUUUUACUAGUCAUGAAUUGAAGCAGGUGUGGUACCACCGAUUAGAGAGCACAAAUAGGGGUGGUGGAAUCCCACCCUUCUCGAAUCUAGGUGUAGGGAAUGUGAAUGCAUCUGUGAGUUUCAAUUGCCGAGAUGGCAUGAUAAUACUACAGGCUGUACAAGGGAUGUACCAAUUUCUUUAUUCAUUAUGAGGGUAAAAUAUCACUCUUCAAUGUUUAUUUUGAAAGGAAUGUCCCAUUUACAGGAGUUUAAUUUGUGCACUGCCAUAAAUCUUUGUUAACUCUAGGGUAUACACAGUAUCUUUUACACACACAUUUUUAAAUAGGGACAAGCAUACCAUUUCUACUAGCGCUUUAUUUUAACAAAUAGUACCCUUCAAAUGAUACAAGCUCCAUGUUUACGAGCUAAAUCUGCUUGUAAAACUUGAAUGUACAGUGUACUGCAAUUUUCUAUUCUCUUAUGACAAAUUGAUUGUUGCAGCCUAUUUAUCCAUUAAAAUUGGGAAAAGAGGUAUCUCAAUUCAAACUGAUAAAGAUAAAAAUGGACAAUAAUGACUCGCAAUAGCAAUCAGAUAACGCUGCAUCUAAGAAAUACAGCAUGUUUAUAUUGAAUAUUGAAGUGUAGAGUUUAGAUCGACAGAAUUCUCAAAUGCGAAAAAAGCAUGCUUCUAAUAUGGUACAUGUAUUAUAUAUAUUUUGUUUAAUCAAUGAAGCUGCUUGCAUUUUUAAUGAAGUAAUCUUUAGCUCAUUUUUUUUUCUCUUAAAAAACUUGCCAUGUAGAACAAAAAAUUUUGUGUUUGCAAUUAACUCAUAUUUGCUAGCCAUAGUUUGUAAGAUAAAAGAAAUAUUCUGUAUGCUAUGUGUACAAUAAGUGAUCUUGGUUGAAAGUUGAAAGGACUGAAUACAAAUGUAUAUGAAGAGAAUUAAACAAUGACUAAAUGUAAACUACUGUGGCUCUAUUUCUCUUGCUCUGAUAUUAUGAAAUACUUCAGUCACUAAAUAUCUUAUGGGAGGCUAUUUUGUUUAAAAACAACAAAUUUAUGAUAAUCUUAAAAUUUCUAUCAAACUGUAUUUCAACAAAAGUGAGAAUUUCACUUGAAAAUGUUUAAGUAAUGUUUUUAAUGUUUAAUUAAAGUGGUCUUCAUUUAUGGUAAAAGUUGAAAUGAAUUUUAGUUCAAUCAACAAAACCCAUGACAGUGAAUGUUCAAGACUUCAAAGAAAUGUUAUUUGGUAGAAAAGCUUGAAUAUAUAAAGAGAGCGAAUAUAUAUCAAGAUAGUAGUCUUGACUGCAUGUCAUUUGGUAAACCAUGUCCCAUUGGUAGACUUUGCUCAUUUGCUGCAAAUGCAAAUGAAUCAUGUUACUUUUCUUCAUAUAAUAAAUAUAAUUAACAUGAACACAACUUACACAAAAUAACAUCUCAAUAGAUUCUUUAUAUAAUCAUUUAUUUUAAAACAUAAUAUUUACAAUCACCACCAUGUCAGUACAGAUAAGCUCAAGAAAAGAAAAACUUAUAUAAUGAAUUAAUUUUCUUAGAAAUUCAUACCAUGAAAAAUUAGCAAAAUUUCAUUCAUCCGACUAUUCUCUGGAGAAGCAGAUAAAUUGAAUGGAACUAGAGUCCACAUACAAUGCAUAUCAUUCAUCACCUGUUUUUGAGUCUGUGUGUAUUUUUACAUGCAAUUUCUCAAAUAUUUAAAUAAUCUCAAUUUCAAAGAUGGUGGUAUGACCUUCAUAAAUUUGCGAUCGAACGUUUAUAAAGGUUUAACUUAACUGCAAUAACUAAUAUGCUCUGUUCUGGAGUAGAUCAAGCAGUAACAUGAAUAGUCAUCAGAUAUGUUUCCUAACAAGCUCGGGUUUUCGGAGGAAAAAAAAAGAUGUCUGUUCUAGCGUUCACCUUACCAUACUCUCUUUUGAAAUGCACUCUAAAUUGCUAAUACAUCAUCUACCAAACAAGCAUUCUCUUCUCAUAUAAUCCAUUUUUUUCUUUUUCACCUUUUUAUUGCAUUUUUUGGUACAUUGGAAGUUGUGGGCUACAUACAUAUCAAGGCCUCAUUCAUGUCUCAAAACUUGAACAUCAAAAUAGCACAUUAAAGUAAAUAAGUAUGCUGUAUUGAGGGAAUUUUAUUUCCUUGCAUCCGUCUAUAUAUCUAUACUUCUUCUCUUCUCUUCUCACAGUUAAACUGAUAAAUAAUCAGCUGACAAAUUCAACCAGCUUCUUUAGCUAGGUCACAGUUCACUCUUCUCUUUUUUUCUUCAUUAAACAAAAAAACCUAACUACCGCUAUAUCAACAGCAAAAAGGGUCUCUCUGAUCCCCAUUCUUUCAUUGUAAUAUCAUUAUUUAUAAACUAAUUCCUUGUUCCUCCACCAGAUAUAUAAUAAUAAUAAUAUUGGGUUCUUGUAUAGCGCACAUAUCUGUGGGACUUAACACUCCUGGCGCUUCUGACCAUUACCCUGGCUUCAGCAUGGCUGCCAUUACGGCGCUCUAGCAUUUCAAGAAAUUAAUUCAUGUCGGGUACCCAUUUACAUCACUUGGGUUAAGUGUCGCAAAUGUAGAUCAAUGUCUUGCCAAAGGACAUUCGUACCGCGGCGGGACUCGACCACGACACCUCUACACACCUCUAUAACAUGCCACCUUCUUUCCACAUCAUAUGUUACACAUUAUCUUAUUAAACAUGAACAAAGAAACAAAGGUAUUAAAAGACAUUACUGAUUUUGAUAAAGCAAGUCAAAGUCAUGGACAAAUGACUAAUUGAAUACACAAAUAAUUAUAAGGAAGGUAGGAUCAAACUAACAAUAUAGAUAGAUGCCCAUGUAAUAAAGUAGUACGCUUAAAAGCUUUUAUAUCUUAAAACAAGAAAGGAGCUUUUACUCAUUAAAAAAAAAUCUCUCAUACUUUCUUUUAAGUAUUCUAAUAUGAACAUAACAUUUGUAGCUUAGUGAGUCACAUGGUGUAGUGGACAUAAUUCUAAUAGCAUUCACCUCUGCAUGCAUUUGCAAACCGUCUAAAAGAAUAGUACCAAUUCUCAAGGAAUAUGGUUUGCUUUCAAGCAGAAAUAUUGUAUUUUCUUCUUUAAAAACAUAAAAAGCUUCCCAUCUCUUUUUGCAUGCAGUAUCUCUAUAUAAAAAUACAGUAGAAAUACAUAUGUCAUCUUGUUGAGAAAUACAUGAUUCAUGACAAUUUGAUUUUCAGCUUUAGCUGUUAUCUUCUCUACAUCAAACAAUGCAAUAAUUAUAUGGUAAUAGUACAGGUCAAAUGAAAAAUAAGCCUUUGUUGCCAUAUAACAAUUCUAUGGCCCGAAUUCACAAAGGAGGUUUGUCGACAAACCGAGGUUUAUGUACGUCAUAUGACGCGUUUUGACGCGUUUUUUACAAACCUGGUUUGUAAAAAACAAAAGGAGGUUUGUCGACAAACCGAGGUUGGCGACAAACCUCCUUUGUGAAUUCGGGCCUAUAUGUAAUUCAAGAUACAUUAGGAUAAAUUUAUAGAAAUCAAAACAACAAAUCUUUUCUUGUUUUUCUUUGUAUACCACCUAAGAAAUUAACAUACCGGGUACCAGCUUAUAUUUUUCAUUUUUAUCAUAAUGAUAAAAACUAUUUUAUCAAAAAAACUUCUUUAGUUAAUUUGAGAAAUAAUCUAAGAGACAAAAAGUGCUACCUUAAAAA
RNAcentral lists this long non-coding RNA (3763 nucleotides) under Strongylocentrotus purpuratus (purple sea urchin). Its description in RNAcentral is "uncharacterized LOC115920133". Lineage: Eukaryota; Metazoa; Echinodermata; Echinoidea; Camarodonta; Strongylocentrotidae. The record is from RNAcentral.